This 108-nucleotide transfer RNA is filed under the name Lentinula raphanica. RNAcentral's name for it is "tRNA-Leu". It matches the Rfam family "tRNA". From Rfam's summary of the family: Transfer RNA (tRNA) molecules are approximately 80 nucleotides in length. Their secondary structure includes four short double-helical elements and three loops (D, anti-codon, and T loops). Further hydrogen bonds mediate the characteristic L-shaped molecular structure. tRNAs have two regions of fundamental functional importance: the anti-codon, which is responsible for specific mRNA codon recognition, and the 3' end, to which the tRNAs corresponding amino acid is attached (by aminoacyl-tRNA synthetases). tRNAs cope with the degeneracy of the genetic code in two manners: having more than one tRNA (with a specific anti-codon) for a particular amino acid; and 'wobble' base-pairing, i.e. permitting non-standard base-pairing at the 3rd anti-codon position. The record is from RNAcentral. Lineage: Eukaryota; Fungi; Basidiomycota; Agaricomycetes; Agaricales; Omphalotaceae.
GGUGAGAUGGCCGAGCGGUCUAAGGCGCCAGACUAAGGAGACCCGCGUAUUUGAUACGUGCUGAAAUCUGGUCACAUUGUGGCGUGGGUUCGAAUCCCACUCUCAUCA